This 45-nucleotide transfer RNA is filed under the name Poa drummondiana. RNAcentral's name for it is "partial tRNA-Phe". Lineage: Eukaryota; Viridiplantae; Streptophyta; Magnoliopsida; Poales; Poaceae. The record is from RNAcentral. RNAcentral also lists the same sequence under 1 other name.
CAAGAAAAGGUCAGGAUAGCUCAGUUGGUAGAGCAGAGGACUGAA